AUGUGUCCAAUGGAGUUAAAUGGUCCUCCAUUUGGUCAACCAACAACUCCAGCACCUGUUGUGCAAUCUCAUGUGCAAGUGCCCACACAAGAUGAGUUCGAUGACAUAGACAAGCUCACACUUUUGAGUCUCGAGUUCACUUGGAGUGUCGAGGAUGAUCCUAUUAGGAAGGUUAUACUAGAGGAAAUGAAGAAGAUUAAGAGUGGAAAGGAGCUAGUGGAAGAAGUAAGGAAGAUUGAGAAGAACAUCAACGCUGGCAGCACUAUUUCUUCACAACUUGAGUUGAGUGUGGCUGAGAUAUCCAUGGAUACAUGUGAGGUUCCAACACCUUCACAUUUCGUUGAGCAAGAUAGCAAGUGCCUUGAGCAAGAGAUACCUCAGAUUGUAGAAGAUGAACUAGAAGACAAGGAACAAGAUGGUCAAGAGCUGCAAUUCCCAAGUGAUCAAGUUGAAGACUCAUCAUCUAUUACUCCUGAAGAAGUACAAGAAGCUGCUGUAGAUGAAGAUGAAGAACAUGAGAUUCAUUGGCCUAUUAUCAUACAUGAGUAUGAUGUGUCAGGUUUACUCAAUCCUCUUGAUGACAUGAUGCCUUGUGAUUUCUUUGCUACUACCUUGCAUUACAUGAUACCAUCACUUAAGAUUGAUUUGAAAAAUCAUUUACUUGGAUAUGAUGAUAUAUACCCUGUUAGUGGCAUUACUCUCAUUUGUGAUGAUCAUAGUUACUUUCCUCGUGCUAGUCCUAUGCUAAAUGAAACAUAUCAUUCCCAUGCUAGUCUUGAGCUUAAUGAUAAAUAUCAUCCUCAUGUUAGUGUUGACCUUGCUGAUUUCUACCAUCCUAAACAUGUGCUUUAUAGCUAUGCUUAUGUAAUUGGAUAUUCGAUUGAUGACUUGGAGGGUAUUAUCCCUACCACUUGCAUUGUCUCUUUGGUUGAGUGCUCUUUCAGGUUGUUGCUUGUGCACGAUCCACUACAUGCUGACCAGGUUCGAGGUGACAUUCCUUGGGAUCCUGGUGGAGUCAGAGCAUGGCGAUGA
This 1032-nucleotide ribosomal RNA is filed under the name Triticum aestivum (bread wheat). RNAcentral's name for it is "partial small subunit ribosomal RNA". The record is from RNAcentral. Lineage: Eukaryota; Viridiplantae; Streptophyta; Magnoliopsida; Poales; Poaceae.